RNAcentral lists this long non-coding RNA (510 nucleotides) under Crocodylus porosus (Australian saltwater crocodile). Its description in RNAcentral is "lncRNA (ENSCPRG00005000530.1)". Lineage: Eukaryota; Metazoa; Chordata; Crocodylia; Crocodylidae. The record is from RNAcentral.
GCCACAGGAGCAAUCCUUAGCUAUGAUAUUCGCUGGUUCUCUACUAUCAAUACAGUUGCAGCCAUGUACUGCCAUCUUUGAAGGGCUUUGUGCAAGGCAGUCUGAGAAUAAAAAGAAAAAGAACAGUGUUUACUGGGGAGGGGAUGGAAAAGGUCUCUGCCAAGCAAUUCGAAUCCUACUCCAGUGGACCCUCCAGGAGUGAGCUAUGUCUCUUACAACAGCUGUGAUGGUUAGAAAACAUUAACCAGAGAUCACAUCUGUUUGCCUGACAAUACCCUGGUUGCAUUUACCUCUUUUAUAUGGACCUAUUGGAUCUGGAAGAAGAUUGUUACAGUCACAGUGGGGACUUUAACCACCUCUGCAUUUAUUCUGAUUUGUUUCCCAACUUGUAACGUGAUACUCUUUGCAAUAUAAUGUCAUUUAUCCAUUCCACCUACCUAUUCUACAGUGCCAUACAAAUCCUGUAACUAUAAGAAUAAAUCCCCAAAGAAACAGGUAUAAUUUUAAAUG